UAGGGAAUCUUCGGCAAUGGGGGUAACCCUGACCGAGCAACGCCGCGUGAGUGAAGAAGGUUUUCGGAUCGUAAAGCUCUGUUGUAAGAGAAGAACGUGUGUGAGAGUGGAAAGUUCACACAGUGACGGUAACUUACCAGAAAGGGACGGCUAACUACGUGCCAG
Molecule: ribosomal RNA, 165 nt
Filed under: uncultured bacterium
Lineage: Bacteria
Description: partial 16S rRNA
Rfam family: Bacterial small subunit ribosomal RNA
Source: RNAcentral